RNAcentral lists this long non-coding RNA (872 nucleotides) under Manihot esculenta (cassava). Its description in RNAcentral is "long non-coding RNA (MESC_LNC007231)". The record is from RNAcentral. Lineage: Eukaryota; Viridiplantae; Streptophyta; Magnoliopsida; Malpighiales; Euphorbiaceae.
UCUCUUGUCAUGCAAACAUUUGGGGCAGAAGAAGAGUAGAAAGAGAAAGCAGCAGAAGAAGCUCGUGAGCAUCUCGAGACUCUGGAGAGUGGUCUUCAGAGGAAGCAUUUCUCUGGAAGUGAAGAUAAAUUUUGUGGACAUUGCAACAGGCUGGAUUGGAAUAUAGGCUCGUAUUGUUGAGAAAAUAACAGAUGUGAACCUGAUUAAUGCAGAGCCAUGCCUUUGGUUGAUUCUUGGUUUGCAAAGUUCUUGGAACUCCCAGCUAUUAAAGAAAGUGUGCCUCCACGUGAAAAAUUGCUAGAGCACUAUAGGGGCAUCCGCAGGAUAUUGACGUCUGCAAUAACCUGAAACCUUUAUCAACAGUUGAAGCUGCACUAGCCUUGGUUGGCUGUCUGCAUAUUAUGAUAAUUAAGAAUCUGGAAUGCUGAUUCAUGUUGAUCCCGAGUGUAUUAAAUAAUGGAAUCUAACCACUAGUACUCCUUAUGUCUAACAUGUUUGUCAGGGAACUAGUACAACCAACACAUCAUAACGAGUGGAUAAUGUAUUAGCAUCAUGGGUUUGGCAUAUAAGAGGUGACCCUUUCAAUUAUGUAUCAGGAGCUUCUUCUGCCCCAAAUGUUUACAUGACAAGAGAGAGAAAGAGAUGGAAAAAGAAAGAAAAUAUACAGAGUCGUCGAAAGUAUUAGAGAAGAAGCUGUUAUGGGUAUUUUAGUCUUUUAACUAAGAUUAACGGUGACUUAACUGAAAAUCUAACGGGAGGGACUAAUGGCAUAGUUUUUAAAAAUCACAGUGACUAAAUUGACGAUUUUUUAAAACAGAGGGACGAAAGGUUAUAUUUCACUAAACUAGAGGGACUAAAUUGCAGUUUACCCU